GACGAACGCUGGCGGCGUGCUUAACACAUGCAAGUCGAACGGUGAAGCGCCUUCCUUUUUGGUGGGUGUGGAUGAGUGGCGAACGGGUGAGUAACACGUGAGUAACCUGCCCCCUUCUUCUGGAUAACCGCAUGAAAGUGUGGCUAAUACGGGAUAUUCUGGGUCUGUCGCAUGAUGGGUCUGGGAAAGAUAUUGUUUCGGUGGGGGAUGGGCUCGCGGCCUAUCAGCUUGUUGGUGGGGUGAUGGCCUACCAAGGCGGUGACGGGUAGCCGGCCUGAGAGGGUGGACGGUCACACUGGGACUGAGACACGGCCCAGACUCCUACGGGAGGCAGCAGUGGGGAAUAUUGCACAAUGGGCGAAAGCCUGAUGCAGCGACGCCGCGUGAGGGAUGGAGGCCUUCGGGUUGUGAACCUCUUUCGCCAGUGAAGCAGGCCUGCCUCGUUUGUGGGUGGGUUGACGGUAGCUGGAGAAGAAGCGCCGGCUAACUACGUG
This 494-nucleotide ribosomal RNA is filed under the name uncultured bacterium. Its description in RNAcentral is "partial 16S ribosomal RNA". It matches the Rfam family "Bacterial small subunit ribosomal RNA", at positions 28 to 507 of the family's 1533-position model. The record is from RNAcentral.